RNAcentral lists this ribosomal RNA (1436 nucleotides) under Pyxidiophora microspora. Its description in RNAcentral is "SSU rRNA". It matches the Rfam family "Eukaryotic small subunit ribosomal RNA". The record is from RNAcentral. Lineage: Eukaryota; Fungi; Ascomycota; Laboulbeniomycetes; Pyxidiophorales; Pyxidiophoraceae.
GGGUCUGUNUCAGAUUAGCCAUGCAUGUCUAAGUAUAAGCAACUUAUACCGUGAAACUGCGAAUGGCUCAUUAAAUCAGUUAUCGUUUAUUUGAUAUUACUUUACUACUUGGAUAACCGUGGUAAUUCUAGAGCUAAUACAUGCUAAAAACCCCGACUUCGGAAGGGGUGUAUUUAUUAGAUAAAAAACCAUCNCUUCGGACUUUUUGGUGAUUCAUAAUAACUAAACGUAGCGCAUGGCCUUGUGCUGGCGCAAAAUCAUUCAAAUACCUGCCCUAUCAAGUGGAUGUGAGGGUAGUGUCCUCACAUGCUUUCNACGGGUAACGGGGAAUUAGGGUUCGACUCCGGAGAGGGAGCCUGAGAAAUGGCUNCCACAUCCAAGGAAGGCAGCAGGCGNGCAAAUUACCCAAUCCCGACUCGGGGAGGUAGUGACAAGAAAUACCGAUACAGAACUCUUUUGGGUUUUGUAAUUGGAAUGAGUACAAUUUAAAAACAUUAACGAUUAACAACUAGAGGGCAAGUCUGGUGCCAGCAGCCGCGGUAACUCCAGCUCUAGUAGCGUAUAUUAAAGUUGUUGCAGUUAAAAAGCUNGUAGUUGAACCUUGGUCUUGGCUAGCUGGUCCGCCUCACCGCGUGUACUGGUCGGCCGAGACUUUCCUCUUGGGGAACCGCAUGCCCUUUACUGGGUGUGUUGGGAAACCANGACUUUUACUUUNAAAAAAUUAGAGUGUUCAAAGCAGGCAAUUGCUCGGAUACAUUAGCAUGGAAUAAUANAAUANNACGUGUGGUUCUAUUUUGUUGGUUUCUAGGACCGCCGUAAUGANUAAUAGGGAUAGUCGGACAUCAGAUUUAUCCCGCGCGCUUAAUUUGACUCAACACGGGGAAACUCACCAGGUCCAGACACAACUAGGAUUGACAGAUUGAGAGCUCUUUCUUGAUUUUGUGGGUGGUGGUGCAUGGCCGUUCUUAGUUGGUGGAGUGAUUUGUCUGCUUAAUUGCGAUAACGAACGAGACCUUAACCUGCUAAAUAGCCCAACUGGCUUUGGCUGGCUGCUGGCUUCUUAGAGGGACAUUCGGCUCAAGCCGACGGAAGUUUGAGGCAAUAACAGGUCUGUUAUGCCCUUAGAUGUUCUGGGCCGCACGCGCGCUACACUGACAGAGCCAGCGGGUUCUCUCCUUAACCGAAAGGUUUGGGUAAACCUAGAAACUCUGUCGUGCUGGGGAUAGAGCAUUGCAAUUAUUGCUCUUCAACGAGGAAUGCCUAGUAAGCGCAUGUCAUCAGCAUGCGUUGAUUACGUCCCUGCCCUUUGUACACACCGCCCGUCGCUACUACCGAUUGAAUGAUCAAGUGAGGCAUUCUGACUGGNCUGGGGAUGUUGGCAACNACAACCCUGGGCUGGAAAGUUUUUCAAACUUGGUCAUUUAGAGGAAGUAAAA